CCAAGCUGGUGGUGAAACCAAGAAUACAAAGAGUGUAUUCUUGUAGGAAUGUAGGACAAAGGGUGGGAACAGAAGCAAGCUGUUUAUCUUGGGACUUCUGCACAGCCAGCUGAAUGGAACAUGGGGCCAAGAAAGUGGAAAGGCUGAAUCACCAAAGAUUGUGUCACUUGUCCAAGAUCACACAGGAAGGUAUGCAACAAUAGAAAUACUGGAUAGAUAACUUCAGAGAAUAUCGAAACAUAAACUCGUGGAGAUUUCAAACCUUCUUCAGCAAAUG
Hyaena hyaena (striped hyena) is the source of this 277-nucleotide long non-coding RNA. RefSeq lists it as uncharacterized. The transcript has 3 exons. NCBI's taxonomy places the organism in Eukaryota, Metazoa, Chordata, Mammalia, Carnivora, Hyaenidae. The record is from RefSeq and is a predicted model, not a curated record.